RNAcentral lists this ribosomal RNA (569 nucleotides) under Microbacterium sp. RNAcentral describes it as "bacterial SSU rRNA". It matches the Rfam family "Bacterial small subunit ribosomal RNA", at positions 225 to 806 of the family's 1533-position model. The record is from RNAcentral. Lineage: Bacteria; Bacillati; Actinomycetota; Actinomycetes; Micrococcales; Microbacteriaceae.
AUGGGCUCGCGGCCUAUCAGCUUGUUGGUGAGGUAAUGGCUCACCAAGGCGUCGACGGGUAGCCGGCCUGAGAGGGUGACCGGCCACACUGGGACUGAGACACGGCCCAGACUCCUACGGGAGGCAGCAGUGGGGAAUAUUGCACAAUGGGCGGAAGCCUGAUGCAGCAACGCCGCGUGAGGGAUGACGGCCUUCGGGUUGUAAACCUCUUUUAGCAGGGAAGAAGCGAGAGUGACGGUACCUGCAGAAAAAGCGCCGGCUAACUACGUGCCAGCAGCCGCGGUAAUACGUAGGGCGCAAGCGUUAUCCGGAAUUAUUGGGCGUAAAGAGCUCGUAGGCGGUUUGUCGCGUCUGCUGUGAAAUCCCGAGGCUCAACCUCGGGCCUGCAGUGGGUACGGGCAGACUAGAGUGCGGUAGGGGAGAUUGGAAUUCCUGGUGUAGCGGUGGAAUGCGCAGAUAUCAGGAGGAACACCGAUGGCGAAGGCAGAUCUCUGGGCCGUAACUGACGCUGAGGAGCGAAAGGGUGGGGAGCAAACAGGCUUAGAUACCCUGGUAGUCCACCCCGUAAA